UUUAAAUGUAAUUAUAGGUUUAUAUUUUCAACAUGUGACCAUCCGUCUUAUUUAAAUUAUUUUAUGAUUAGUACUUUUAUUGUUAUUAGAUGAUAAAACAUGAAUAAUAUUUUAUGUGUGACUUGUUUUUUAGAAAAAAUAAAUAAAACGGACAGUAAUACGGAAAUCCACAACUACACUUAUA
RNAcentral lists this microRNA precursor (184 nucleotides) under Oryza rufipogon (brownbeard rice). RNAcentral describes it as "MIR812 microRNA precursor family". It matches the Rfam family "MIR812 microRNA precursor family". Lineage: Eukaryota; Viridiplantae; Streptophyta; Magnoliopsida; Poales; Poaceae. The record is from Rfam by way of RNAcentral.